CCUACGGGAGGCAGCAGUGGGGAAUAUUGCACAAUGGGCGCAAGCCUGAUGCAGCGACGCCGCGUGAGGGAUGACGGCCUUCGGGUUGUAAACCUCUUUCACCAGGGACGAAGCGAAAGUGACGGUACCUGGAGAAGAAGCACCGGCCAACUACGUGCCAGCAGCCGCGGUAAUACGUAGGGUGCGAGCGUUGUCCGGAAUUACUGGGCGUAAAGAGCUCGUAGGCGGUUUGUCGCGUCGUUCGUGAAAACUUGGGGCUUAACUCCAAGCGUGCGGGCGAUACGGGCAGACUUGAGUACUACAGGGGAGACUGGAAUUCCUGGUGUAGCGGUGAAAUGCGCAGAUACCAGGAGGAACACCGGUGGCGAAGGCGGGUCUCUGGGUAGUAACUGACGCUGAGGAGCGAAAGCGUGGGUAGCGAACAGGAUUAGAUACCCUGGUAGUCCACGCCGUAAACGGUGGGUACUAGGUGUGGGUUCCUUUUCACGGGAUCCGUGCCGUAGCUAACGCAUUAAGUACCCCGCCUGGGGAGUACGGCCGCAAGGCUAAAACUCAAAUGAAAUUGACGG
This 569-nucleotide ribosomal RNA is filed under the name uncultured bacterium. RNAcentral's name for it is "bacterial SSU rRNA". It matches the Rfam family "Bacterial small subunit ribosomal RNA", at positions 338 to 916 of the family's 1533-position model. The record is from RNAcentral.